This is a long non-coding RNA of Papaver somniferum (opium poppy), 725 nucleotides long. RefSeq lists it as uncharacterized. NCBI's taxonomy places the organism in Eukaryota, Viridiplantae, Streptophyta, Magnoliopsida, Ranunculales, Papaveraceae. The transcript is spliced from 4 exons. The record is from RefSeq and is a predicted model, not a curated record.
UUCCAUAAACUGUUUUCACGUUCGUAUCCAUUUUUCUUCUCAAUCAGCUGCGGCCGUUUCAAAAUUCCGUAUCAGUCAAUAAUACUAUCAAUCUGAGAGGUGUUACUAUUGAGUAAUCAAUGCAAUCUUAAAUUUUAUUUACGCAGCAUGAUUAAAAUAAACUCUUUUCCCUUUUCUUUCUUUUGUCAGCAUAGGGUUUUCCCGUCAUGGUCGACAAAUUCAGGUCUUGAGAUUUUGAUUAAAAGUUUGGUUCUCUCUCAACAGAUUGCAAUUGGUUAUUAACCUAAACGGAGUUCAAGGGUGUGGUCAAGCAAUCAGAUAUAGAGGUAUUCGCAGCCGUAGUUGGUAACUGGGAUACACACGCAGUGGUCGAGUAGUACGUUUGUUGGAAGCCAUUGCAGAUUGCAGGAAGCUAUGCACGACAAGUUGCAGGGAGAGAUGGUAGGAAAAAAAUUGAAGGGCAUUGAGUGAUUUUGUUCUGAUGCAUUUAUUUGAAUAUAUUGUAAUUGGAGAAUAAACAGUGGAUUCACAAAUUUCAUUUCGAUAAGAAAGAAUCACUAAUGGAUUAGGAGUCUGAAUUGUCUAUCUGUGAAAGUUUUAGAAUGAAAUCAGGAGUCCCAGACCAUGUGAAAACAAACUACAUCACUCUUUAUAUACUUUGCUAGACUGUCAGCGACACUAUUUGCGUCUAUUUUAGUGAAUGACUAGCUACUAAAAUUUCUUAA